UUUAGUAAGAAUUUAAUUUUGGUUCCGAUUGAACGUUAUUCAGUAGUUUUAAGACAUGCAAAUCAUUAUUUCUGAUAGUAAAUUAUAAAAUUUUUUAUUCUAAGAAAUAAGGUGUAGAGGUGAGUAUAGUAAAUAAGAUACCCUAUAAGUCUUCAGAAAUUGGAGAUAAUUAAUCAGAAAAGAAAAUAAAUUUAGUCUUUUAUAAAAUUAUGAGUAUUUUCGUAUUAUAUUUAUAAAAUAUUAUAAUCAAUAUUAAUUAUAGAUAUAAUUAUUACUAAAAUUUUUUAUUUAUAGAAUUAUUUUAAUUUAUGACUAAUUAAGCAAAUUAAUAAUUUUGAAUAUGAAUUUUAAUAAUAAAUGAUUAAGAUAAAAUUAGCUAUUUUUUAUUUAAAAAGGAAAUUUUCUGCUUUAGGAUUCUAUUUACUUUGAUUAUGAUAGUUGGUAGUGGUAAAGGCCUACCAAGUCUACGAUCAAAAGCCAAGUUUGACAGAACAUAUGGCCACAUUGGGAGUGAAAAUACCCCAAGUAAUAUUUAAUUACCUGCAGUCAAGAAUAUUAGUCAAUGCUCGCAAGAGUGAACUAGCUAACUGAAAUCAUAAAUGUGUCAUUUAUGAUAAGGUAAGAGAAAAUAAUGAUAUUAUCUUACUAUUAGUGUCGUCUAAAACUGGUGCCAGAAGACUCGGUAAGACCAGAGACGCAAACGUUAGUCAUCAUAAUCAGGCGUAAAGGGUUUGUAGGCGGCUUUAAAUAAUAUAAUUUAAUUUUUAAAAUAGCUAAAAAAUAUUUAAUUUUUUAUAGAUUAUAUUAGAAUUAAAGCUAGAAUCUAAUAGAGGGUGAGCUGAACAACAUUUUAAUUAGGAUUAACAACUAUACAAAUAAUUUGGAGUACUAAAGGUUAAAGCUAUUUAUCCACUAAAGAUUGACGCUCAGAAACGAAGGAGAGGAUCGAAAACAAGAUUAGAGACCUAAUUAUCCCUCUCAGUCAACGAUGAAUGGUAGUUGCUAAUUUUAAUAAUUAGUUAUAUAUAUUAAAUUUUUAUUUAUUAUAUAAUUAUAUUAUCAAUUUUAUAUUAGUGACGAGGUUAACACGAUAACCAUUCCGCCUUGUGAGUAAGACUGCAAAGUUGAAAACAAAAAAAUUAGUCGGUCUUGAAGCAAACGAAGUGAAGCAUGUUAUUUAAUACGAUAAUCCGCGUAAAAUCUUACCAGUUCUUGUAUAAUUUACUUUAAUUCAAAUGAAUUAUUGCAAAGAAUAUUACAAAAUAAUAUUUUAUUACAGGUGUUGCAUGGCUGUCGUCAGUCCGUGUCGUGAGAAGUUUGGUUAAAUCCGUGAACGGACAAAAUCCCUAGUGUUAAUUUAAACAUAACAUAUAAUAGCGUUCAUAAGAUGCUAGUUGGGGCUAAGACAAGUCAUUAUGGCCCUCAUGUUCUGGGCUAUAGACGUGCCACAAAAACUUUUACAAAGUGAUGCAAUUCCAUUUCUACAAAGAAUACUAAGGAGGAGCUAAUCAUUAAAAAAAGUUAACUAUUAAAUUAGUUGAAUUGUCAUCUGAAACUCGGUGACAUGAAAAAGGAAUUUCGAGUAAUCGUUGAUCAUUACGCAACGGUGAAGUAUGCAUUCAGGAUGAACUAACCGUCUGUCGCUGGGAAGGAGCUUAAUCUGAAGGAAGGUGUGCAUUGUUCAAAUUUUUCUUUUUUAUAAUCUAUUUGAUACAAAGUAUAUAUUUUAUAUUAGUAUUCAAAUAAUAAUUAUAAGUACUAAAAAUACUUAAUUAAUUAGUACAAUAACAAAUUCUAAUUAAUUCUAAACAAAUUUUUUAAAUUUCUGUAUUAGUUUAAAAUUAGAUUAUUCUGAAAUGAAUAUAUAUUAUACGCUUAAUAAUUAUAUGUACUAUAUUAUUAUAUAUCGGUAACAGAUAAAAAAAUAAUAUAGAAUUACUGAUCUAAUUAAAAAUAUAAACGUGAUUAUUAAGAAAACUGAACCCAACGAAUUCAAUUGAGUAACAUCUCAAAAGUCAUAGCAAGGUAGCCGUACUGGAAGGUGCUGCUGAAAAAUAAAACGA
RNAcentral lists this ribosomal RNA (2063 nucleotides) under Paxillus involutus. RNAcentral describes it as "small subunit ribosomal RNA". The stretch from base 1 to 1692 matches the Rfam family "Bacterial small subunit ribosomal RNA". The record is from RNAcentral. Lineage: Eukaryota; Fungi; Basidiomycota; Agaricomycetes; Boletales; Paxillaceae.